Molecule: long non-coding RNA, 391 nt
Filed under: Homo sapiens (human)
Lineage: Eukaryota; Metazoa; Chordata; Mammalia; Primates; Hominidae
Description: HSALNT0351763
Source: RNAcentral
CCACCUCACAGAGGACGGAACUAGGCCACCAGACUGCAUCACAAAGCCCUCCUGUUUCAUAAGGUACAUGUAGUAGGGAAGCUCAUGUGGUGAUUCAGUCUGUAGAUGAGGGUGUUUUGAGCCUGGGACUGAAGAAGGUGUUGCCCUGGUGAGAAUGGUUAUAGCCAAAAGCGGAGAAAAAAAUUCUUGGGCUCGAAAUCUUUGAACAUUCAUCCAGCAUCCCAUCCUUUACCUCACUGGCAUGGGUUAAUCCAGUGCAGAAACAGCUUCAUCUUGUUAUCCAAGCCAACUUCUGGAGCUUCUGGAAGGAUGAUGCUCUUCCAAGCUGAGAAAUGAUCACAGACCAGACUAGCAGCUGGGAGACUGCAAAGAAGAAGAGAUUACCUUUUCA